This 451-nucleotide ribosomal RNA is filed under the name uncultured organism. Its description in RNAcentral is "partial 16S ribosomal RNA". It matches the Rfam family "Bacterial small subunit ribosomal RNA", at positions 330 to 797 of the family's 1533-position model. The record is from RNAcentral.
CGUACACUCCUGCGGGAGGCAGCAGUGGGGAAUAUUGGACAAUGGGCGCAAGCCUGAUCCAGCCAUGCCGCGUGAGUGAUGAAGGCCCUAGGGUUGUAAAGCUCUUUCACCGGUGAAGAUAAUGACGGUAACCGGAGAAGAAGCCCCGGCUAACUUCGUGCCAGCAGCCGCGGUAAUACGAAGGGGGCUAGCGUUGUUCGGAUUUACUGGGCGUAAAGCGCACGUAGGCGGACUAUUAAGUCAGGGGUGAAAUCCCGGGGCUCAACCCCGGAACUGCCUUUGAUACUGGUAGUCUUGAGUUCGAGAGAGGUGAGUGGAAUUCCGAGUGUAGAGGUGAAAUUCGUAGAUAUCCGGAGGAACACCAGUGGCGAAGGCGGCUCACUGGCUCGAUACUGACGCUGAGGUGCGAAAGCGUGGGGAGCAAACAGGAUUAGAAACCCGGGUAGUCCCA